This 542-nucleotide transfer RNA is filed under the name uncultured cyanobacterium. RNAcentral's name for it is "partial 16S-23S ribosomal RNA intergenic spacer". The stretch from base 212 to 284 matches the Rfam family "tRNA". The record is from RNAcentral. Lineage: Bacteria; Bacillati; Cyanobacteriota.
CAGGGAGACAACAAAAUGUUUAAUAUUAUUAUUUUGUCACCUUAGGUCGAUCGGUAUCUCACGUUUUUAAUUUAUUAAGAAUUUCAUUUCCUAAGUUUUUCUAGGUCACACCCAUUAUUUUUCCUGGGCCAUUAGCUCAGGUGGUUAGAGCGCACCCCUGAUAAGGGUGAGGUCCCUGGUUCAAGUCCAGGAUGGCCCAUAUCUCUAUGUUGGGGGUAUAGCUCAGUUGGUAGAGCGCCUGCUUUGCAAGCAGGAUGUCAGCGGUUCGAGUCCGCUUACCUCCACUGAUUACCACCUCUUCCAUAACCGGUAGAAAGGAAAUUUUUUGAGUUGUGAUCAAAUUCUGAAAGAAUCUAGCUUCCUAAUACAAUCAUUAAGAUGCUGGACUCAUUGAAUUAAUUUCAUUGUUUUCAGAGAACCUUGACAACUGCAUAGAUUAUUUUUAAAAGACAAUAAGCAUCUUUAAUGAUGCAGAUUUAUUAUUUGUGCGAAUGCAUUAAUAACAAUUCUAUUAAGCUGAUGCUUCAAUUUUUGAAGUUAUU